UAGGGAAUCUUCGGCAAUGGACGAAAGUCUGACCGAGCAACGCCGCGUGAGUGAAGAAGGUUUUCGGAUCGUAAAACUCUGUUGUUAGAGAAGAACAAGGACGUUAGUAACUGAACGUCCCCUGACGGUAUCUAACCAGAAAGCCACGGCUAACUACGUGCCAGCAGCCGCGGUAAUACGUAGGUGGCAAGCGUUGUCCGGAUUUAUUGGGCGUAAAGCGAGCGCAGGCGGUUUCUUAAGUCUGAUGUGAAAGCCCCCGGCUCAACCGGGGAGGGUCAUUGGAAACUGGGAGACUUGAGUGCAGAAGAGGAGAGUGGAAUUCGAUGUGUAGCGGUGAAAUGCGUAGAUAUAUGGAGGAACACCAGUGGCGAAGGCGGCUCUCUGGUCUGUAACUGACGCUGAGGCUCGAAAGCGUGGGGAGCAAACAGG
Molecule: ribosomal RNA, 429 nt
Filed under: Gemmatimonadota bacterium
Lineage: Bacteria; Pseudomonadati; Gemmatimonadota
Description: Gemmatimonadetes bacterium partial 16S ribosomal RNA
Rfam family: Bacterial small subunit ribosomal RNA
Source: RNAcentral